This 845-nucleotide long non-coding RNA is filed under the name Anas platyrhynchos platyrhynchos (common mallard). Its description in RNAcentral is "lncRNA (ENSAPLG00000027843.1)". Lineage: Eukaryota; Metazoa; Chordata; Aves; Anseriformes; Anatidae. The record is from RNAcentral.
CUUGUUUGUUUGUUUUGUGUAUGCGUUAGAGUGCUUUUUGGAGACCGAAUUUCUAGAACUGCACAAUCUGUUUCCUAAGAUGGCCUUGCAGAUGGCCUUGCCCAUAAAUCUGUGCAUAGGGUGUACAAAGAUGUCAUGUAAACUUUGCAGCCUGGCAAGCUGUGGUUAUUCCACUGAGGGCAACUGCAGCUGCUGGUAUCUGUGAGUCAAACAAACCUCUGCUUUAUUAUCACAUCGCUAUUUAAAAAUAUGGAACAAACAUCUCUCUUCAAAUAACAGCAGAAGAGCCGAUCGUUCCAUGCCUUGGGGGCAUGAGUCGCUAAGCUUGUGCCUUGAGACAGGAAGAACAUGAAUAUCCCUUCUGCCUUCUCCAAGGUCCUCGCUUCUCAUCCCAGAUGGGAGCUGGCUGUAGGGUCUCCCCUGCAGCUGACCUGAACCAUGGGCUCAGCAGCUCUAUGAACAGCUCUGAUAGUGCUGCUGCACAAACGGUAUCUUCCAAGAGGGGCAGAGCCAACAUCUGGAGGACAGAAACCUCUGCAGUCACCCUACAAGCUAAAUGGUUCCUGCUCAUGAAAUGGGACUUUCAGAUGUCACCUAUGCCAUGUGCACAGGACUGCCCCUUGCAUGGAUGGCGGCUCUGCAGGGAUGCCAGAGAGGAAUGGCCUUGCUUUGGGAAGAUGCUUCAAAGGAACAUACAAAGAAAACGAUCUGUGUGCCUGGGGAAGGCCAUGAGGCUCAAGAGAAAGACUAUUAAAGGAAAGUGUUAUUUUUAUUUAUUUUUUUCCCUAUGCUGUUGUUAUUUCCUACAUCCUGUUCUAUCUUUUUACUGCUGUGGUUGCAUCUGA